CGUUCUUCACUGGCUAGCUUUAUGUCCUCCGACCCCACGCUAAAGCUGCCAGUUGAAGAGCUGU
Molecule: microRNA precursor, 64 nt
Filed under: Tetraodon nigroviridis (spotted green pufferfish)
Lineage: Eukaryota; Metazoa; Chordata; Actinopteri; Tetraodontiformes; Tetraodontidae
Description: Tni-Mir-22-P1a_pre stem-loop
Rfam family: mir-22 microRNA precursor family
Source: RNAcentral